RNAcentral lists this ribosomal RNA (514 nucleotides) under Shigella sonnei. Its description in RNAcentral is "bacterial SSU rRNA". It matches the Rfam family "Bacterial small subunit ribosomal RNA", at positions 173 to 687 of the family's 1533-position model. Lineage: Bacteria; Pseudomonadati; Pseudomonadota; Gammaproteobacteria; Enterobacterales; Enterobacteriaceae. The record is from RNAcentral.
GUCGCAAGACCAAAGAGGGGGACCUUCGGGCCUCUUGCCAUCGGAUGUGCCCAGAUGGGAUUAGCUAGUAGGUGGGGUAACGGCUCACCUAGGCGACGAUCCCUAGCUGGUCUGAGAGGAUGACCAGCCACACUGGAACUGAGACACGGUCCAGACUCCUACGGGAGGCAGCAGUGGGGAAUAUUGCACAAUGGGCGCAAGCCUGAUGCAGCCAUGCCGCGUGUAUGAAGAAGGCCUUCGGGUUGUAAAGUACUUUCAGCGGGGAGGAAGGGAGUAAAGUUAAUACCUUUGCUCAUUGACGUUACCCGCAGAAGAAGCACCGGCUAACUCCGUGCCAGCAGCCGCGGUAAUACGGAGGGUGCAAGCGUUAAUCGGAAUUACUGGGCGUAAAGCGCACGCAGGCGGUUUGUUAAGUCAGAUGUGAAAUCCCCGGGCUCAACCUGGGAACUGCAUCUGAUACUGGCAAGCUUGAGUCUCGUAGAGGGGGGUAGAAUUCCAGGUGUAGCGGUGAAAU